Molecule: ribosomal RNA, 253 nt
Filed under: uncultured bacterium
Lineage: Bacteria
Description: partial 16S ribosomal RNA
Rfam family: Bacterial small subunit ribosomal RNA
Source: RNAcentral
UACAUGGGGUGCAAGCGUUGCUCGGAAUUAUUGGGCGUAAAGCGCACGUAGGCGGUCUGUUAUGUCAGAUGUGAAAGCCCUCGGCUUAACUGAGGAAGUGCACCUGAAACUGGCAGGCUUGAGUACGAAAGAGGGUCGCGGAAUUCCCGGUGUAGAGGUGAAAUGCGUAGAGAUCCGGAGGAACACCAGUGGCGAAGGCGGCUGGCUGGACCUGACCUGACGCUGAGGCGCGAAGGCGUGGGGAGCGAACGGG